Molecule: ribosomal RNA, 488 nt
Filed under: uncultured bacterium
Lineage: Bacteria
Description: partial 16S ribosomal RNA
Rfam family: Bacterial small subunit ribosomal RNA
Source: RNAcentral
UUGAACGCUGGCGGCAGGCCUAACACAUGCAAGUCGAACGGUAACAGGAAGCAGCUUGCUGCUUCGCUGACGAGUGGCGGACGGGUGAGUAAUGUCUGGGAAACUGCCUGAUGGAGGGGGAUAACUACUGGAAACGGUAGCUAAUACCGCAUAACGUCGCAAGACCAAAGAGGGGGACCUUAGGGCCUCUUGCCAUCGGAUGUGCCCAGAUGGGAUUAGCUAGUAGGUGGGGUAACGGCUCACCUAGGCGACGAUCCCUAGCUGGUCUGAGAGGAUGACCAGCCACACUGGAACUGAGACACGGUCCAGACUCCUACGGGAGGCAGCAGUGGGGAAUAUUGCACAAUGGGCGCAAGCCUGAUGCAGCCAUGCCGCGUGUAUGAAGAAGGCCUUCGGGUUGAAAAGUACUUUCAGCGGGGAGGAAGGGAGUAAAGUUAAUACCUUUGCUCAUUGACGUUACCCGCAGAAGAAGCACCGGCUAACUCCGU